This 259-nucleotide small RNA is filed under the name Vicugna pacos (alpaca). RNAcentral describes it as "7SK RNA (ENSVPAG00000017477.1)". Lineage: Eukaryota; Metazoa; Chordata; Mammalia; Artiodactyla; Camelidae. The record is from RNAcentral.
UGGGGAGAGAUCUGGCUGUGACGUCUGUCACGCUCUGGCUUGUCGGGACCCAUCCUCCUGGUCUGGCUGUCAGGGUGGGUGCCCCUGUCCUCACCCUAUUAUGGCACCCUUGGGGAAACCGAGCGCUCAGGGAACGUCUUUUCUAGAGAACUGUUCUUCAGUCAGGGGUGAAUGAGUCAUUUUUCUCUCUCGUUAUCUCCAGACAAAGCAGCUACUUUAUUAUGCAUUCCACCGUAAAACACAUGCUUGUCAUCUAGUG